AUCAAUUGCUUUGUUGGUUCUCAAUCUUUAUUUCUUUCUUAUUUGGAAGGAUCUUCUAUGUGUUAGAAACUGUGUGUUAAAUUGAUAUUUUCUCCUCUUUUUUGGUGGAUAAGAUUCACUUUUUGUCACUGUCAGGGCAUCUGAUGUUGUGUGUUUUUUAUUUUUUGGUUCAGUUUUAGUAAUUUAUUUGUUUUUCCCCGUUUUGUUGUCUUUUUCUUUUUUGUAUUGGGAUGUGAUUUGUAUGAUAUGGAAACAAUUCUCUUGUAAAAGUAUUUGUGCUUCAUAGGUUAUACUGGAGGAGCUUAAUGCCAUGUUUCUUCUUUGUUGUGUUAACUCUUACAUAAUAAGCUUCUAAUUUUAUUGUCUGAUUAUUGAUUUAUAGGAAAGUCAUUCUUUUUAAGAUUACAGGCUACCAUGCAACCUCGGGAUUGAGCCCAAAAGAUGAGAAUAAGCAAUCCUGUUUUGAGGUUGAAGGCCUCGAUGGAACCACCAGGGCUGACUGAGGGGCUCACAAAUAGCAAACAAGAGAGCAUAAUAGGAACUCAAAAUGGGUCUGAUCUGUUCAAUGAAAUGAAACAUCAGUUUCUGAGUUUCAAAAGGCAGAAAUUCCUGUAAGCAAGCUUAUAAUUCUGACAUCUUGUUGUUUUGCUUCACAGAAAAUUGAGUUUCCCUGAUGUGAUGUUUUCUUUGAACAGGGAAAACUUGGAAUGCUAUGAAAAUCUUGCCAAGAGUCAAGCACCGAAGUUCAUGGUCAUUGCUUGUGCAGACUCUAGGGUUUGUCUCUCCUACAUCCUAGGAUUUCAACCCAGAGAAGCCUUUGUAGUUCGCAAUGUGGCAAAUCUGGUGCCCCCAUUUGAGGUACCAUAUACAUUGCAUUUGUGUUUU
Camellia sinensis is the source of this 885-nucleotide non-coding RNA. NCBI's taxonomy places the organism in Eukaryota, Viridiplantae, Streptophyta, Magnoliopsida, Ericales, Theaceae. The record is from RefSeq and is a predicted model, not a curated record.